RNAcentral lists this ribosomal RNA (1084 nucleotides) under Bizionia sp. S1-28. Its description in RNAcentral is "bacterial SSU rRNA". It matches the Rfam family "Bacterial small subunit ribosomal RNA", at positions 60 to 1141 of the family's 1533-position model. The record is from RNAcentral. Lineage: Bacteria; Pseudomonadati; Bacteroidota; Flavobacteriia; Flavobacteriales; Flavobacteriaceae.
AGUCGAACGGUAACAGAAAAAAGCUUGCUUUUUUGCUGACGAGUGGCGCACGGGUGAGUAACGCGUAUACAAUCUACCUUUUACAGUGGGAUAGCCCAGAGAAAUUUGGAUUAAUACCGCAUAGUAUUAUUAGUUGGCAUCAAUUGAUAAUUAAAGUUUCGGCGGUAAAAGAUGAGUAUGCGUUCUAUUAGCUAGAUGGUAAGGUAACGGCUUACCAUGGCAACGAUAGAUAGGGGCCCUGAGAGGGGGAUCCCCCACACUGGUACUGAGACACGGACCAGACUCCUACGGGAGGCAGCAGUGAGGAAUAUUGGACAAUGGGCGCAAGCCUGAUCCAGCCAUGCCGCGUGCAGGAAGACUGCCCUAUGGGUUGUAAACUGCUUUUAUACAGGAAGAAACACCCCGACGUGUCGGGGCUUGACGGUACUGUAAGAAUAAGGAUCGGCUAACUCCGUGCCAGCAGCCGCGGUAAUACGGAGGAUCCAAGCGUUAUCCGGAAUCAUUGGGUUUAAAGGGUCCGUAGGUGGAUAAUUAAGUCAGGGGUGAAAGUCUGCAGCUCAACUGUAGAAUUGCCUUUGAUACUGGUUAUCUUGAGUUAUUAUGAAGUAGUUAGAAUAUGUGGUGUAGCGGUGAAAUGCAUAGAUAUCACAUAGAAUACCAAUUGCGAAGGCAGAUUACUAAUAAUAUACUGACACUGAUGGACGAAAGCGUGGGGAGCGAACAGGAUUAGAUACCCUGGUAGUCCACGCCGUAAACGAUGGUUACUAGCUGUUCGAACUUCGGUUUGAGUGGCUAAGCGAAAGUGAUAAGUAACCCACCUGGGGAGUACGUUCGCAAGAAUGAAACUCAAAGGAAUUGACGGGGGCCCGCACAAGCGGUGGAGCAUGUGGUUUAAUUCGAUGAUACGCGAGGAACCUUACCAGGGCUUAAAUGUAGAUUGACAGGUUUAGAGAUAGACUUUUCUUCGGACAAUUUACAAGGUGCUGCAUGGUUGUCGUCAGCUCGUGCCGUGAGGUGUCAGGUUAAGUCCUAUAACGAGCGCAACCCCUGUUGUUAGUUGCCAGCGAGUCAUGUCGGGAACUCU